CUACGGGGCGCAGCAGUGAGGAAUAUUGCACAAUGGAGGAAACUCUGAUGCAGCAACGCCGCGUGGAGGAUGACACUUUUCGGAGCGUAAACUCCUUUUAUAUAGGAAGAAGAUGACGGUACUAUAUGAAUAAGCGCCGGCUAACUCCGUGCCAGCAGCCGCGGUAAUACGGAGGGCGCAAGCGUUACUCGGAAUCACUGGGCGUAAAGAGCGUGUAGGCGGAUUAAAAAGUCAGGAGUGAAAUCCUAUAGCUUAACUAUAGAACUGCUUCUGAAACUCUUAAUCUAGAAUAUGGGAGAGGUAGAUGGAAUUUCUGGUGUAGGGGUAAAAUCCGUAGAGAUCAGAAGGAAUACCGAUUGCGAAGGCGAUCUACUAGAACAUUAUUGACGCUGAGACGCGAAAGCGUGGGGAGCAAACAGGAUUAGAUACCCGAGUAGUC
RNAcentral lists this ribosomal RNA (439 nucleotides) under uncultured bacterium. RNAcentral describes it as "partial 16S ribosomal RNA". It matches the Rfam family "Bacterial small subunit ribosomal RNA", at positions 339 to 795 of the family's 1533-position model. The record is from RNAcentral.